GGGGUUGGGGAUUUAGCUCAGUGGUAGAGCGCUUGCCUAGGAAGCGCAAGGCCCUGGGUUCGGUCCCCAGCUCCGAAAAAAAGAACCAAAGAAAAUAAAUAAAUAAAAUAUCUCUUU
RNAcentral lists this non-coding RNA (117 nucleotides) under Rattus norvegicus (Norway rat). The stretch from base 7 to 75 matches the Rfam family "tRNA". From Rfam's summary of the family: Transfer RNA (tRNA) molecules are approximately 80 nucleotides in length. Their secondary structure includes four short double-helical elements and three loops (D, anti-codon, and T loops). Lineage: Eukaryota; Metazoa; Chordata; Mammalia; Rodentia; Muridae. The record is from RNAcentral.